AGUGAGCGCUGGCGGUAGGCCUAACACAUGCAAGUCGAACGGCAGCACAGUAAGAGCUUGCUCUUACGGGUGGCGAGUGGCGGACGGGUGAGGAAUACAUCGGAAUCUACUUUUUCGUGGGGGAUAACGUAGGGAAACUUACGCUAAUACCGCAUACGACCUACGGGUGAAAGCAGGGGAUCUUCGCACCUUGCGCGAUUGAAUGAGCCGAUGUCGGAUUAGCUAGUUGGCGGGGUAAAGGCCCACCAAGGCGACGAUCCGUAGCUGGUCUGAGAGGAUGAUCAGCCACACUGGAACUGAGACACGGUCCAGACUCCUACGGGAGGCAGCAGUGGGGAAUAUUGGACAAUGGGCGCAAGCCUGAUCCAGCCAUACCGCGUGGGUGAAGAAGGCCUUCGGGUUGUAAAGCCCUUUUGUUGGGAAAGAAAAGCAGCAGGUUAAUACCCCGCUGUUCUGACGGUACCCAAAGAAUAAGCACCGGCUAACUUCGUG
This 492-nucleotide ribosomal RNA is filed under the name uncultured bacterium. RNAcentral's name for it is "partial 16S ribosomal RNA". It matches the Rfam family "Bacterial small subunit ribosomal RNA", at positions 29 to 507 of the family's 1533-position model. The record is from RNAcentral.